CUUCCCCAGACCAUGGGGCCAGGGCUAAGCCCACAGGAAGGCUGGGCCAUGUCCCCCGCACCCAGGUCCCUGAGGGGCUGAGGCCUGGGCCCCCCAAGGCAGAGGCAAAGGGGCCACAGCUGGGUCCCUGCCUCCCUGGGACGGAGCCAGCAGGCUGGGGCAGGAGUCAGCUGGAGCUCUAAGCCACCCCGGUCCUCUUGAGCGCUGUGGCUGCGUCCUAGGCACUGGCGUCCCAACUGGAGAGAAUCUGGAGUCAGCGCAGGCCUCAGUCCUCCAUCCUCACUCCCAGCUGGCCACCAGCUCAAGAGAAGCUUCUGUAACCCCAAGAACUGUCGCCUGCCCAGAGCAGGUGAGGAAAUGCUCUGAGUCAGGGCGUUUCAGGCUAGCUGUGAGGGCACAAAGGAAGCUGUUUCUCCGAGCUUGGCACUGAGGAGUCAUAGCCAUGCUGGUAAAUGAGAGCCCAGGGCAGCAGUGGCAGGAGUUGAGUGUUUCCAAACCAUACUGCCGCAUGCCACACAACUAUGGACAAGCUGUGUCCACCUUCUGGGCCUCAAUUUCCCAUCUCUGAAGUCAAGCUGCUGUCAGCAAGGCGGGAGAGAACAGGGUGGGAACAUACCCCGACUUUGUGCCCACCCCAGCCGCAGAGUCCUCCAGAGGAACAGGGUCCACAGGCCAGAGGGAGAGAUAGGAAGAGAUUCAGUACAGAGGCUGAGAAGCCCUGUGACCUGCCCCCGGCCAGCUAGAGACCCAGAGAGCAGAGGGUCUGAAGACCCGGGCAAGUGAUGGGGACUUCUGGCUUGAGGUCGAAGUGCAGGUCCCAGAGUCCAAAGUGGAAGAGCCAGGGGCAGGGAAAUGAAUGUCCCAGUUCAAGAAGACAGACGGCCUCUCGCCCGCCUUCUGCGGUCUGCUCCUUCGACAGAUUAGACAACGCGGCUGUCCUGAAGUCUGCCUACUGUCCAUAGUGCACCUGGGGCGGCCCGCUCCUCUCCACUGACUGGAACCUGGCGGCACCUCAGGGUCACCCUCCCUGACCUUUGUCCCGAGCCUACUAUCCGGAUGCAGAGAUUAGAAAGACAAAGACCCUUGGGAAAUUCCACAGUCCCAAACCGGGACACUUGCGCAGGGCCUCGCAGCAUGACCUGCUGCGACCUCGCUCCACGUGGAGCUCAAAGGUUCGCGCUGUGUGGGGCAUCUCCGUCCUCCAGUUGCACCAGAGUGAACUACGGGAGCGGACACGCGCAGUAGAUGGCCGACGCGACCCGGCACCUGUCAAUCACGCCGUCGCUCCCACCCAGUGGGCGGUGCCCAGACCUGCGGGACGUCUUCAGUUCCUCAGCGCUGGCGCUUUCCUUUCCAUCGGCAGCGCCUCCGCCUGAUUAAACUUCCUUACGCGUUCCUGCUUUUUCCCACCCCCGUCACGGGGGACCCUGGGGAUGGGGCGCCCCAGUGUAUGCACACCCCGAGGCUCUGAGGGGCCUGGGGAAGGCGCCUGGUCAGGCUGAGGUUCAGGCGCAGACUGCCAGGCGCCAGGGCAGCCGCUUCCCCAGGGCAGGGCCGGCGACUGGAGGGGUGGACGUGUGGCAGAGGCGCACAGGGCCUGUCUCGGGGCCCAGCGGCCACACACGCAGGAGCCAGCGGUUUGGCGCCCCGAGAGCUCGGCAAGGGUGCAGCAGAAGCCAAGUCCCAGCUAAGCAACAACCCUGGGGAGGCAGACUUGGGAAACGCCGGGAAUGGGCCAGUAGUAGUCCAGGCCCCGCUUCCAGCCAUGCCUGGGGUGUGGGGCAGGGCAGGGCCACCUUCGCCAUCCUCAGGGCCAGGGCAAGGGGACAGGGUGGCCUGUGGAGGAGGUGGUGCUGUGACCAGGGGAGACCUGGCUAGGCCUUCUCAGCUCCCUCCCCACGCCAACCCCUAACUUUCCUCCUGAAACCCUGUUUCCCAAGAUGUCCACAGUCCCCUGUGUGGGCUUAGCUGGCUGCAGCUUCACUCUGCUCCUCAACAGGGAGUGUCCUUAGCCAGGCGUGGUGGUGCACACCUGUAUCCCCAGCACUCAGGAGGCUGAGGCAGGAGGAUCAUCUCAAGUCAAUGCCAGCCUAGGCUACAUAAAGAAAGCCUGUCUCAAAAAAAAAAAAGAAAAGGGAAUGUCUUCCCCUUCUUGAGUCUGGACAUGCUUGGGGAGCAGAGAUGGGCAGAGCUGUGUGGCUCUUCAGCCUCUCAGCAGACAGACAUCAGGUGGACAGAGUGUGGGGACCUGGGGAGGUGCCCCACCUGCCACCAGGCUCUGUGGCUUCCACCCCUGAAUUCCAGAGCCUUAUCUCACGGUCAUCCAUCCUAGAUAACCAUCUCCAUGCAGGCCUGAACUAUGUCUUGGAUUCUUUGCUUUGGGAUUUCACUUUUCCACAUUUUAUGACCUUGAAUCGCUGCUCACUGCUUCUGCAGAAGUGUGGCUGCAAAUGGCCAAGCAGUCUGCGAGCCUUUCUUGAGCCAAAGACCUUAAACAUCUGGAACAGUACAGUUAAAUAUGCUGGGGAUCGAACUCAGGACCUUGCUCUUGCCAGGCAGGUGCAGCACCACUGAGCUACACCCUGGCCCAAAAAUAUAAAAAUAUUACCAACUUGCUUUGGCUGGAGUUUUC
This 2632-nucleotide long non-coding RNA is filed under the name Heterocephalus glaber (naked mole-rat). Its description in RNAcentral is "lncRNA (ENSHGLG00100044507.1)". The record is from RNAcentral. Lineage: Eukaryota; Metazoa; Chordata; Mammalia; Rodentia; Bathyergidae.